RNAcentral lists this ribosomal RNA (508 nucleotides) under uncultured bacterium. RNAcentral describes it as "partial 16S ribosomal RNA". It matches the Rfam family "Bacterial small subunit ribosomal RNA", at positions 28 to 507 of the family's 1533-position model. The record is from RNAcentral.
GACGAACGCUGGCGGCGUGCCUAAUACAUGCAAGUCGAACGCUUCUUUCCUCCCGAGUGCUUGCCCUCAAUUGGAAAGAGGAGUGGCGGACGGGUGAGUAACACGUGGGUAACCUACCCAUCAGAGGGGGAUAACACUUGGAAACAGGUGCUAAUACCGCAUAACAGUUUAUGCCGCAUGGCAUAAGAGUGAAAGGCGCUUUCGGGUGUCGCUGAUGGAUGGACCCGCGAUGCAUUAGCUGGUUGGUGAGGUAACGGCUCACCAAGGCCACGAUGCAUAGCCGACCUGAGAGGGUGAUCGGCCACACUGGGACUGAGACACGGCCCAGACUCCUACGGGAGGCAGCAGUAGGGAAUCUUCGGCAAUGGACGAAAGUCUGACCGAGCAACGCCGCGUGAGUGAAGAAGGUUUUCGGAUCGUAAAACUCUGUUGUUAGAGAAGAACAAGGACGUUAGUAACUGAACGUCCCCUGACGGUAUCUAACCAGAAAGCCACGGCUAACUACGUG